Molecule: non-coding RNA, 21 nt
Filed under: Arabidopsis thaliana (thale cress)
Lineage: Eukaryota; Viridiplantae; Streptophyta; Magnoliopsida; Brassicales; Brassicaceae
Source: RNAcentral
UGAACUGGCCACACCAUAAUC